AGUGAUACAGUGAUAAGAAACUAGUAGCAAACAUUUCCCUGUCUCAGAGAGCUGACGGUUGGUGGAAGUCAGUACACAAAUGUGAGCGAAUUACACUCUUUGAGUACUCUUUUACAGAGCGGUCAGCAGAUCGUUAACAAUUCGAGGUGGCAAGCAAUGUUUGCAACUAGGGUGGUAUCGCGAGAAAAACUCGUCCCUAUG
RNAcentral lists this non-coding RNA (201 nucleotides) under Priestia megaterium. Its description in RNAcentral is "Bacillus megaterium T-box sequence". It matches the Rfam family "T-box leader". From Rfam's summary of the family: Uncharged tRNA acts as the effector for transcription antitermination of genes in the T-box leader family. T-boxes are found upstream of many aminoacyl-tRNA synthetase genes and some amino acid biosynthetic genes usually in Gram-positive bacteria. Lineage: Bacteria; Bacillati; Bacillota; Bacilli; Caryophanales; Bacillaceae. The record is from RNAcentral.